This 64-nucleotide transfer RNA is filed under the name Macrohyliota sp. 1 MJ-2020. RNAcentral describes it as "tRNA-Phe". The record is from RNAcentral. Lineage: Eukaryota; Metazoa; Arthropoda; Insecta; Coleoptera; Silvanidae.
AUUCAAAUAGCUUAAUUAAGAGCAUAAUAUUGAAGAUAUUAAGGUAAUUUUAAAUUUUUGGAUA